GACUACUUGGCAGGAACAAGCGGGCGAUCAAAGGGGACCAAUUCGAAGUUAUAGGGAGUUAGAGCAGAGAUUUCCCCGCGCUGACGCCCAAACAAACCAUUUGAUUCAGUCAUUACAACAACCCGUAAACAUUAGUAAAAUACUGGAGUUGGGAGGUGAUUAUUGGGAGUGGUUUGUGGCCUGUUUUUGCGGGUGAUAAAGCCUUCAAUCGAGGAGACGACUCACUUUUGUUUAACGCUGUGGUUUUGCAAUGUCUUCCGUCUGGUGUCGCUGACAUGAUGCGGCGAACGAAUAUGAACUGGUCCGGGAAUUCCCGGUCGCACAUGAGAAUAACCCGUGAUGCCAUAUAAAUACCUUCUGAAAUUCUCAGUACAGUACAUCCAUCAGGUUUCCAGAACAGCUCUUCAAAGAACUUCAGACAUAUACAAAUUCAACAAUGUUAGAGAAACAUCUUGGAAUAUAUACUUGUGGUUCAUGGAUUUACUUGUAGAUCCCCUUCUUUUAAAAAGUCUCAUUGUUGGAUCACAAGGCUCUGGAUCAAGUUUGACACCUGGGCUUAUGCACAGGACAAAGCUGACAUUAAUAUUACAAAUAAUUAAGACCAUAAGAUGCAGAAGGACAAUUAAACCAUUCGGCCCAUCAAGUUUGCUCUUCCAUUUGAUUAUGGCUAAUACAUUUCUCAAUGCCAUUCUCCCCAUAACCUUUGAUCACCUUACUAAUUAAGAAACUAUAUAUCUCUGCCUUAAGUACACUAAAUGACUUAGCGUCCACAGCUUUCUGCACAACGAGUUCCAAAGAUUCAUCACCCUCUGACUGAAGAAAUUCUUCCUCUUCUUCAUUCUAAAGGUUUGGCCCUUCACUUUGAGGCUGUGAAGGUCCUAGCCUCUCCUACCAGUCAAAACAUUUUCUCCAUGUCCACUCUACUCAGUACUCUCGGUAUUCUGUAAGUUUUAAUAAGAUCCCCCUCAUCCUCUGAACCAGACCCAGAAUCCCCAAUCACUCUUCAUAUGUGAAGUCCUUCAUCCCCACGAUCAUCCUUGUGAACUCUAACACCACCACAUACGUCUUUAGAUAGAGAACCUAAAACUGCUCGCAAUAUUCCAAAUGCAGUCUGAUCAGAGUCUUAUAAAGCCUCAGUAGUGCAGCCCUGCUCUUGUAUUCUAGCCCUCUUGAAAUGAAAGCUAACAUUGCAUUAGCUUUCCUAACUGCCAACUGAACCUGCAUCUUAACCUUAAGAGAAUCCUGAACUAGGACUCUUAAGUCCUAUUGUGCUUUGGAUUUCCAAAGCCUUUCCCCAUUUAGAAAAUAGUCUCUGCCGCUAAUCUUCCUGCUAAAGGGUACAACUUCACACUUUUCCAUAUUGUAUCCCAUCUGCCAUUUCUUUACCCUCCUUCUCUGUAGCCUGUCCAAGUCCUUCUGCAGGCUGUCUGCUUCCUCAACGCUACCUCAUCCUUCACCUAUCUUUAUGUCAUCUGCAAAGUUAGCAACAAUGCCCUCAUAGAAUCACAGAAUCUCUACAGUGCAGAUAGAGAUAAUUCAGUCCAUCAAAUCUGCGCUGACCUUGGAGAGCAGCCCAUGCAGAUCCUUCACCACCACUGUAUCCCCAUAACUCCACAUUUACCAGGGCUAAUCCACCUAGUCUGCAUAUCCCUGGACACUGCAUUGCCCUUUCACAUGGCCAAUCCAUCUAGCCUUCCCUCUUUGGACUCUGGUCAGUUAGAAAUGAAACUGGUGAUGUCUAUCAAUUAGUUAAUUGAUACUUAGAUAUAAAGGGGCAAUGGCUGGUGCUGAGACAGGACUGUUGGAUUUAUAUUGUCAAUAAACAAAGAAUGUUUGUGCCUCUUAGCUUCUGUUUGGCCAGCUUGGUUCAAAUCCAUUCACAGCUGACAUUCAGGUGCAUUACUGGAGUAGAAUUUUGUGAUACAGAUGUUAAACUGAGGCCAUACUUGGAUCUAUAGGAGGAUGGCACUAUUUCCAAGAAGAUCAGGAAAGUGCUGCUUGGUGCCCAGCAAAUACUUAUGCCUCAAUUAACAUUACGCACACAGAUUAUCUAUUCAUUGUCACAUUGUCAGAUUUUGCUCAGUAUGUAUUGGCUGCCACUUUAUAAUAGUGACUGCACUUCUUUGGAUUUCAUUAAGUGUAAAGCAGUUUGAGAUGUCUAGUGGCCAUGGAAAGCUUUAUAUAAAUGCAAAUCUUUCUUUCUUUUACUUCACGUUGUUUAGCUUUCAUGCAUGAUUUUAAACUGAAUUAGAUAUUCUAAUUUUUGCUUCCUGGUUGAGAAUCUACAUGCCUCUUUAAGAGUUGUGGUGUAUUUUUUCCCUGUUCACAUUGCUGCAGUCCCCUAAAGAGGGCACCAUACUGAAAAGGACUUCUUGUAACUAAGCUGUUGCUGAAAAGCCCACAGUUAAGUCUGUGGUUGCUGUACGCGCAAUGAAUAGUAAGUUUUGUUCCUACAUCACCGACCGCAAAAUCUGGGCCAUUAACUUUGUGCAAUGGUUGAUUUAACAAGAAGAAUAAGAUCCAGUGAUGCAUAUAAACUCAUUUAUCAAUUCUGAAACUCAGUAGAGCACACCCUCUGGUUCUAAUAGAAGAUACUUUUUAAGUCGAAGUGGGAGGUUAAGUUUUGGCACUGCUUCGUAACACCUUUUCUGCAACACUGCUCGAACUGCACAUCUAGCCAGGUGCAUCAGAGAGCGUGGAGAUCUUCCACAGACAUCAAACAGAGAUUUAUAAAACUCCCAGUGUUGCUGCAAAGUCAAGAAAAUGAUAUUGGUCAAAGACUGGCUUUCUAAAUCAAAGGUUCUCAAAUUGGGUGAGUGAGUGAGUGCUGCAUGACAGAGUUAUUGGGGAUGAGGGAGAGCGGGUUCAUAAUACAUAAUGUGUUAUUUUAGCUUAAAUUUGCUCUAUUUAUUUAAUUUCAUUUGAAGCAUUUUACUUUUGUCCACUACAAGCAAUAAUAGGAUGGGAACAAGAAGUGGUCUUAUUGUGUCUGAGUAUGUUUUGAAAGAAACAGAAAGUUUCUUGAAAGAUGGGCUAUUUAAGCCUGACCUGAUAGUGUGCAUAGCUUCAGGCCACAUUAUUUUAUUUUCAAACAGCUGCUAUUAUUUGUGAACUUUUAGCUAGGAAAAUAAUCAAAUCCAAGAAAAUGGCUCAAACAAGCCAUUCUUUUUCAGUCAUGAUUUGAUCGGUUUGGUCAUCAGAUUAUUUUGCUGUUAAUAAUAACAAUGCUAUAGUUUGAGUUGACUUGCUACCCCUUUGAAAAUACGAAAUUCAAGUCACC
Long non-coding RNA from Stegostoma tigrinum, 3280 nucleotides. RefSeq lists it as uncharacterized. Lineage: Eukaryota; Metazoa; Chordata; Chondrichthyes; Orectolobiformes; Stegostomatidae. The record is from RefSeq and is a predicted model, not a curated record. The transcript has 4 exons.